Molecule: ribosomal RNA, 2905 nt
Filed under: alkali sediment metagenome
Description: bacterial LSU rRNA
Rfam family: Bacterial large subunit ribosomal RNA
Source: RNAcentral
AGUGCAUGUGGUGGAUGCCUUGGCGAUCACAGGCGAUGAAGGACGUGGCAGCCUGCGAAAAGCUGCGGGGAGCUGGCAAACGAGCAUUGAUCCGCAGAUAUCCGAAUGGGGAAACCCGGCCCGCGAGGGUCACCGCCGCCUGAAUACAUAGGGCGGAGGGAGCGAACCCGGUGAACUGAAACAUCUCAGUAGCCGGAGGAACAGAAAUCAACCGAGAUUCCGAGAGUAGUGGCGAGCGAAAUCGGAAGAGCCUGCCGUUUUUAGCCGAUGUUCUAGUGGAGCGCUCUGGAAAAAGGCGAAAAGAACCCCGGAAGGGGAGUGAAAUAGAUCCUGAAACCGCAUGCAUACAAACAGUGGGAGCCCCUGCUCAAUGAGCCUUCAACACGCGGGUUCUUUGACGCACGAGCCGCAAGGCGAGUGCGGCAAAAGACCCGAGCGAUGAAGCAGAUCCUGGCUGCGCACGACGCUACGCGUGGUGCGGGUGGAUCGAAGCUCGGCGAGGGUGACUUUCGGUUCGCGAAGCGAAGCGGAAGUCAGCACUGCUCGAGGAACCCGGAGGGUUCAUCGAGCAGGGGUGACUGCGUACCUUUUGUAUAAUGGGUCAGCGACUUACGUUCUGUAGCAAGCUUAACCGCAUAGGGUAGGCGCAGCGAAAGCGAGUCCGAACAGGGCGCUUGAGUUGCAGGGCGUAGACCCGAAACCGGAUGAUCUAGCCAUGGCCAGGCUGAAGCGGGGGUAACACCUCGUGGAGGGCCGAACCCACUCCCGUUGAAAAGGUAGGGGAUGAGCUGUGGCUAGGGGUGAAAGGCUAAACAAAUCCGGAAAUAGCUGGUUCUCUCCGAAAACUAUUGAGGUAGUGCCUCGAGUAUCACCACCGGGGGUAGAGCACUGUAAUGGUUGUGGGGAUCAUCGCGAUCUACCACGCCAUAGCAAACUCCGAAUACCGGUGAGUGCGAGCUCGGGAGACAGACGGCGGGUGCUAACGUUCGUCGUCGAGAGGGAAACAACCCAGACCGCCAGCUAAGGUCCCGAAGACACAGUUAAGUGGGAAACGAGGUGGGAAGGCACAGACAGCCAGGANGUUGGCUUAGAAGCAGCCAUCNUUNAAAGAAAGCGUAAUAGCUCACUGGUCGAGUCGUCCUGCGCGGAAGAUGUAACGGGGCUCAAACUGUGCACCGAAGCUGCGGAUUCAAGCGCUCCACUUGAGCGCGUCGAAGGCGUGCCGGCGUUCUGCCGGGACGUGAACACCCUGAAAGCCAAUGACGGGCAUGGGCGGUGAUGCGCGAGCAUUGCGGCCGGUGGUGGCUUUUGUGGAUCGGCGUGUUGAAGGGAGCGCUUGGAUGGUAGGAGAGCGUUCCGUAGGCCUGUGAAGGUGGGGUGUGAACCCUGCUGGAGGUAUCGGAAGUGCGAAUGCUGACAUGAGUAGCGAUAAACAGGGUGAAAGGCCCUGUCGCCGUAAGCCCAAGGUUUCCUGCGCCACGUGCAUCGGCGCAGGGUGAGUCGGCCCCUAAGGCGAGGACGAGAGUCGUAGCUGAUGGGAAGCGGGUCAAUAUUCCCGCACCGGCCUGCAAUGCGAUGGGGGGACGGAGAAGGUUAGCGCGGCCGGGUGUUGGACGUCCCGGUUCAAGCGUGUAGGCGUGCCGCGUAGGCAAAUCCGCGUGGCUUAGCUGAGGCGUGAUGACGAAGGCGGGCUUGCUCGCCGGAAGUGCGUGAUACCAGGCUCCCAGGAAAAGCCUCUAAGCUUCAGUUGCAGGGCGACCGUACCGCAAACCGACACAGGUGGGCGAGCUGAAUAUGCUCAGGCGCUUGAGAGAACUCUGGUGAAGGAACUCGGCAAAUUGACACCGUAACUUCGGGAUAAGGUGUGCCCUUGGUAGGUGAAGGUCCUCGCGACUGGAGCCGAAGGGGGUUGCAAAGAAUCGGUGGCUGCGACUGUUUAACAAAAACACAGCACUCUGCAAAGACGAAAGUCGACGUAUAGGGUGUGACGCCUGGCCGUAACUAUAACGGUCCUAAGGUAGCGAAAUUCCUUGUCGGGUAAGUUCCGACCUGCACGAAUGGCGUAACGAUGGCCACACUGUCUCCACCNGAGACUCAGCGAAGUUGAAGUGUUUGUGAAGAUGCAAUCUCCCCGCGGCAAGACGGAAAGACCCCGUGCACCUUUACUGUAGCUUUGCAUUGGACUGUGAUGAGGCUUGUGUAGGAUAGCUGGGAGGCUUUGAAGCGAGGGCGCCAGCUCUCGUGGAGCCAACGUUGAAAUACCAGCCUGGCGUCAUUGCGGCUCUAACCUGGAUCCAUGAUCUGGAUCGGGGACCGUGCAUGGUAGGCAGUUUGACUGGGGCGGUCUCCUCCCAAAGAGUAACGGAGGAGCUCGAAGGUUCGCUUAGCGCGGUCGGACAUCGCGCUGGACGUGCAAGGGCACAAGCGAGCUUGACUGCGAGACUGACAAGUCGAGCAGGUGCGAAAGCAGGACCUAGUGAUCCGGUGGUUCUGAAUGGAAGGGCCAUCGCUCAACGGACAAAAGGUACGCCGGGGAUCGGUCCCAAGGGUAUGGCUGUUCGCCAUUUAAAGUGGUACGUGAGCUGGGUUCAAAACGUCGUGAGACAGUUUGGUCCCUAUCUGCCGUGGGCGCUGGAGAUUUGACGGGGGCUGCUCCUAGUACGAGAGGACCGGAGUGGACGUACCGCUGGUGUACCGGUUGUGACGCCAGUCGCAUCGCCGGGUAGCUAUGUACGGAAGCGAUAACCGCUGAAAGCAUCUAAGCGGGAAACGUGCCUGAAGAUGAGAUCUCCCGGGGACUUGAUCCCCCUGAAGGGUCGUGGCAGACCACCACGUUGAUAGGCCGGGUGUGGAAGCGCGGUAACGCGUUGAGCUAACCGGUACUAAUGGCCCGUGCGGCUUGACU